GACGAACGCUGGCGGCGUGCUUAACACAUGCAAGUCGAACGGAAAGGCCUCUUUCGGGGGGUACUCGAGUGGCGAACGGGUGAGUAACACGUGAGUAACCUGCCCUUGACUUUGGGAUAACUUCAGUAAACUGGGGCUAAUACCGGAUAGGAGCUCCUGCUGCAUGGUGGGGGUUGGAAAGUUUCGGCGGUUGGGGAUGGACUCGCGGCUUAUCAGCUUGUUGGUGGGGUAGUGGCUUACCAAGGCUUUGACGGGUAGCCGGCCUGAGAGGGUGACCGGCCACAUUGGGACUGAGAUACGGCCCAAACUCCUACGGGAGGCAGCAGUGGGGAAUAUUGCACAAUGGGUGGAAGCCUGAUGCAGCAACGCCGUGUGCGGGAUGACGGCCUUCGGGUUGUAAACCGCUUUCGCUCAUGACGAAGCUUUGUGUGACGGUAGUGGGUAAAGAAGCACCGGCUAACUACGUG
This 467-nucleotide ribosomal RNA is filed under the name uncultured bacterium. Its description in RNAcentral is "partial 16S ribosomal RNA". It matches the Rfam family "Bacterial small subunit ribosomal RNA", at positions 28 to 507 of the family's 1533-position model. The record is from RNAcentral.